GGAUUCCCCUAGUAACGGCGAGUGAAGCGGGAAAAGCUCAAAUUUAAAAUCUGGCGGUCUACGGCCGUCCGAGUUGUAGUCUAGAGAGGUGUUUUCCGUGCCGGACCAUGCACAAGUCCCUUGGAACAGGGCGUCAUAGAGGGUGAGAAUCCCGUCCGUGGCAUGGACUCCCGGUGCUCUGUGAUGCGCCUUCGAAGAGUCGAGUUGUUUGGGAAUGCAGCUCAAAACGGGUGGUAAAUUCCAUCUAAAGCUAAAUACAGGCGAGAGACCGAUAGCGAACAAGUACCGUGAGGGAAAGAUGAAAAGCACUUUGGAAAGAGAGUUAAACAGUACGUGAAAUUGUUGAAAGGGAAACGCUUGGAGUCAGUCGCGUUUGCCGGGACUCAGCCUUGCUUUUGCUUGGUGCACUUCCUGGUACACGGGCCAGCAUCGAUUUCGAUCGCCGGAAAAAGGCUUGGGGAAGGUGGCACCUCCGGGUGUGUUAUAGCCCCUCGUUGUAUACGGUGGUUGGGAUUGAGGACCGCAGCACGCCUUUUGGUCGGGGUUCGCCCACGCCACGUGCUUAGGAUGCUGGCGUAAUGGCUUUAAACGACCCGUCUUGAAACACGGACCAAGGAGUCUAACAUGCCUGCGAGUGUUUGGGUGUAAAACCCAGGCGCGUAAUGAAAGUGAAAGGUUGGGACUCUUCGCUGAGGCACCGACGCCCGAUCCUGACGUUCUCCGACGGAUUUGAGGUAGAGCAUGUAUGUUGGGACCCGAAAGAUGGUGAACUAUGCCUGAAUAGGGCGAAGCCAGAGGAAACUCUGGUGGAGGCUCGUAGCGAUUCUGACGUGCAAAUCGAUCGUCAAAUUUGGGUAUAGGGGCGAAAGACUAAUCGAACCAUCUAGUAG
This 890-nucleotide ribosomal RNA is filed under the name unidentified. RNAcentral's name for it is "Pseudohydnum sp. HOB-2022e partial large subunit ribosomal RNA". It matches the Rfam family "Eukaryotic large subunit ribosomal RNA", at positions 72 to 950 of the family's 3401-position model. The record is from RNAcentral.